GCUGGAGGAGGAAAGAAGAACACGUGACUCGGAGGCAACUCUCAAACGAGGCCCCGUGGCCCCGGAAGCGAAUGGCGCUCCCUCCCAAACCUGGCCUAAACAGCGGAUGUCGUGAAGUCGUGGCUCUGGAACCUUCAACUCUUCUUCAAUCGCUGUCUCCUGUGGGAAUUCUCAUGGGACAGAACCAGGUGCAAAAUAUUGACUAUAUGGACCAGAUCCACCAAACAUGACCUCAAGGGGAAUGAUCUUCUCAGUGUUCUCCCCAUUGAUCUUCAGAAGACAGAAGUCAUCACAUUUCUUGGCCUUGAACUGGCCUUUUCACCAAAGCUGAGCAGCAACGCUAUAUGACACCCCCGUCACCUCCACAUUGCUCUCUCCUUCCCUUCCCCUCAAGCUAUUCUUCUGUCUCAAGUUACCACAAGGUGACUUGCCCAAGGUCACAUAGUAUCUGAGGCCAGAUUUUACUUCCUGACUCUAGGACCAGCAUUGUGCCACCUAGCUGCCUUUUACCCAUACAUAUGUUCUCUGUAAGUUGAAGAGAUUUUUUUUCUUCUGUGUUUGGGCAUGUCUUUCUGUGAUCUGGGGUAGAGGAAAAGACUCACAUUAUUAUAAUCAUAUUGAAUUAAUGUUGGGGAUGCAAACUGACUAGAUCAGAUUCUUUCAUCUGGAGAUAGCCAGGGAGACUGAUGAAGAAAACAGUAACCCUUGACUCCAAAGGUUUUCUACCAGCCCCUGAAUUUAUUCUUAUCUGACCUACUCAUGAUUACAGUAUUCAAAGGCCGCUAGGAAUUGCUGAUCCUGUACUGAAACAUGGAGCUCCCUUUUCUGCUGGUGGGGGCCAUUAUCUCAGUAGGACCAACCUCUUGGGAGCUUGCAGCUUCACUGCCACAAGACUAUCAAAGAUGGAACCAGGGCAAGUGAAGAGGAUGUGCUGAUGUCACCUUGUAGCUUUUAUGUGUGAGUAUGUCUCUGGAGUAUGGACAUUAUUCAACAACCCCUGGAGUUAGCUAAUAGUUAAUAUGUUUCCUGACAUCCUGCACUGAUCGCCAUUUGUUGGACUCCUGUGACUGGAAUCAUAGCAGGGAGCUGAGGUUUAUCAACUCAGUAAGGUCUUCAGCAGGAAUCUCAGCCCACCUACGGUGUGUGUGUGACCAUGGACAAAUCAGCUUCCCUUCCACCCUUUUCUAGGAGGCAGCAUGCACAUACAAUGCAAAGCUGAAUCGAGUCAGAGUACUUUACUUAUAAUCCUGACUCUAAUUCUUAUGACCAGUGUGAAUUUGUGCAGAUGAAUUAAUUUCUCUGGGCCUCAGUUCCUUGUCUGUACAAUGGAUGGACUAAGGUCCUUUCUGCUUUUUUUUUUUAAACCCUUACCUUUCGUCUUGGAGUCAAUACCAUGUAUUGGCUCCAAGGCAGAAGAGUGGUAAGGGCUAGGCAAUGGGGGUCAAGUGACUUGCCCAGGGUCACAUAGCUGGGACGUGUCUGAGGCCAGAUUUGCCUUUCUGCUUUUUAAUCUAUAAUAUUUUAAUUUAGACCUCAGUUUUUCCAUCUGUAAAACAUGUGAGUUGAAUUAGAUGGUCUAAUUGAAUUCCCUUCAGAUUCUAAAAUUCUACAAUCUUAGGACACUACACAGUCUCCUGUGUACUUUUCCCAUAUUUCUCACCAAAGAGGUUUAAGAAGGUACUAUUAUAGUACCUUCACAGUGCAUGGAUUAUAACAUGAGACCAUGGGAUAUUAGUGACCUGUCGUCUUCUAUGCUGAGAGGUAUGUUAGCCACUAGAGUUCAAAGCUCUGACUAAUGGCCUGGCAUGGUGAGAAUCUGACUGAUCCUUUCUGAGGGCCUUGCCAUUGUUUUUGACACCUGGUAGCUAUGCUAAUAUGCCACAUGUGCCCAGCCAAGAGAUUUUGUUGAGAAAGACUUGGCAGUUACUCCUCAGGAGUAGUGUGGUUCCAGUGGAAAGUGAGUAGACUCAAGUUCUAGUCCCACCUCUAGUCCUAUCAAGGGACAUCUCUGAUGGGAACAUGACAACACAUAAAGGAUCUUAAGUACUUUGUGCAUGGUAUGGUAAAUCAUUGUGACAACCAUCCAAGGGCAAUGUGGUUCUAGUCUUAUCUUCUCCCAUACCUACCUUUCAGGGUUAUUAUGAAGAUCAAAGUAGAGAAUAUUUGUAAAAAUCUCAUAGCCUAUAGUAGGAGCUAUGUAAAAUGCUUAUUCUCACCCUCCUUCUCCCACCAAAACUAACAAUGUGACCUUGGAAAAGCUCCUUUAUUUCUUUCUCUGGCUCUUAAUUUCCUCCUGGGACAGCUAAGUGGCUAGCAGAUAGAGCAUCAGGCCUGGCGUCGAGAAGACUUCUCUUCCCGAAUUCAAAUCUGGCCUCUGAAACUUAUAGCUGUAUGACCCUGGGCAAGUGACUUAACCCUUUUUUGCCUCAGUUUCCUUUUAUGUAAGAUGAGAUGGAGAAAAAAAUGACAAAUCACUUCAACAUCUUUGCCAAGAACACCCCAAAUGGGAUCAGAGAGAGUUGAAUAUGACUGAAAAAUGACUGAACAAUUUCCUCCUAUAUAUGAUGGAAUUGAACUACUUGUUCUCUGAUAUCUUUCAGCUUUAAUAUUCCUAUAAUUUUAUUAUUAUAAUUCCUCCAGCAAGUUCCCAUUGUAUUUAUAGAGCUUGUUGUUGUUCAGUUAUUUCAGUCAUGGCUUAUUCUUUGUGUCCCUAUUUGGAGUUUUCUUAGCAAAGACACUGAAGUAGUUUGCCAUUUCCUUCUCUAGCUAAUUGGACAGAUGAGGAAACUGAGGGCAAAAACAGUGAAGUGACUUGCCUAGGGCCACACAGCUAGUAAGUGUCUGAAGCCAGAUUAGAACUCUUCCUGAAUCCAGGCCCCAUAUUCUGUCCACUGAGCCAUCUAAUGACCAUUUACAGGACUGCCUUCUUCCUGAUCAAGGAUACAGCAGAAGUAGGAGAUUCCCAACCUCAAGAAACUGAUUGUGUAUUUCUGCUUGACCAACUACUAAAUUAGAAAGACUCAUCUCAUGCUCAUGAAGUAGGUUCUUUGAUUUGCUUGGAUGAAAUAACUCACAAAUUACAUACAUGUCAUUUUCUUCUGACAUUAAAUGCAGACAGAAUCUGACUUUUUGGAACUGGGAAAUGGAGUUAUUUUCCAUCUACUUUUGUUAUUAUAUUAUUAAUAACAAUAUUAUCAACAUUAAUUAUCCUAAACUUUUUAAUUUCUAAGAGCAAGGCAGUAGGAAGAGAGAACUUAACUGCCCUUGGGGAGUUCGGGGGGUCAGGCCCAGUCAAGAAACAUCCCAGGGUCCUGAAAGAACUGAGAAAUGAUUGCUAAAAUCUCAUUUCUCAUUUUGAAGCAUCACAUGGUACAGGAGGACUGUUGCUUGCCUAGAGAAAGCCAAGUAUGGCCUCAAUUUUUGGAAAGGGGAAGAAAAUGGAGUCUGUUAACUGUCAAGCAUUGAGCUUGACCUUGACUCCUGGAAAAACUUUAAACUAUGUUAAAAGGGUAGUAAAUGAAAAUCUAGAGAAGGAAGUGGUGAUGACAAAGAGUCAGCAUGACUUUCUCAACAAUGGGUCAUAUAACACUAACUCAAUUUCCUUUUUUGAUGGGCUGACUAGACUGGUAGAUCAGGGGAAUACUGUAGAUAUAGUUUACCUAGAUUUUUGUAAAGCAUUUAACAGUCUUGUGCUAUUCUUAUGUAUAAGAUGGAGCCUAUACAAUCACAUGGUUAAGUGGAUUUGAAACUGCUUUCAUGAUUUGAUGGGGGAAAAAUUAUUCCUAUAAAGAUCUCUCUUGUUUUCAUUAAGCAACUUGAAUAAGAUUGUGCCUAACUUAUCUUUGGACUUUCCUGAAUACCUUCUAUAUAGUAAACAUUUGAUUACCGCCCCUGCUUCAAUUUACUCAUUUGUAAGAUGGUGAUAAUAAUAGGACCUACUUCCCAGGGUUGUUGUGACGAUAAAAUGUGAUAGUUGUAAAGCACUUUGUAAACCCUAAAGUGCUACAUAAAUGCUAGCUAUUAUUACAUAACAGAAGAGAAUUGACAUGGUUUAGUGGACAGAGAGGACAGCUGGGUGGUAAAGUGGAGAGAACACUGGGCUUGGAAUCAGAAAGACUCUUCUUCCUGGAUUCAAAUCAGGCCUCUUCACCUAUUUGCUUUAGUUUCCUUAUAGGUAAAUGAACUGGAGAAGGAAAAGGCAAACUACCCUCAUAAGCUUGCCAUGAAAACCCCAAAUGGGAUCACAGACAGUCAGGCAUGAUAAAAAUAACAAUAAUAAGUCAUUAGAGAGCAGAAAGACCAAGAUACACUGUCUUUGAGACCCUGGGCAAAUCAUUUAACCUCUUAGCAUUUUUUUUUAAACCCUUACCUUCCGUCUUGGAGUCAAUACUGUGUAUUGGCUCCAAGGCAGAAGAGUGGUAAGGGCUAGGCAAUGGGGGUUAAGUGACUUGCCCAAGGUCACACAGCUAGGAAGUGGCUGAGGCCAGAUUUGAACCUAGGACCUCCCGUCUCUAGGCCUGGCUCUUAAUCCACUGAGCUACCCAGCUGCCCCCUAUCCUCUUAGCAUUUUAGGCAGGUUCCUAAGACUAUAAGUUGCACAAAAGGUGCUAAAUGCAUUGGUUGAAAUGGUUCAUGUGGGAAUUUCUGAUGCCUUAUGAAAUCACAGAUCCAGCCCCUAGGCCUUAAUAUAAGGCACUGUGGAAUAAUAGAUAGCAAGUCAGCCUCAGAGACGGGGUAGACCUAGGUUCAAGUUUCACCCCUGACACUUAUUGACUGUGAGAUCCUGGGGGCAAAUCACUUGACUAUUCAGUUCCCAGGAAACUCUAAGAUUAUUAAUGGCAAGUCAGGUACUAAUCUGCAUUGGUAGAGAGAGUAUCCUUACACCAGUGAAUUCAGGUCCAUUUAAAAUACAUAUAUGUGUAUAGGUAGGAUAGUGGAUCCACAUCCUGGUUUCAAAUCUAGCCAGAGAUACUUUUAGCCAGGUAAUCCUGAGCAAGACACUUAACCCCAAUUGCUUUGCCCUUGCUGCUCUUCAGUCUUAGAAUUGAUACUCUGUGUGUGUGUGUGUGUGUGUGUGUGUGUGUGUGUGUGUGUGUGUGUGUGUGUGUAAAAUAGAAUUUGCUCUCAUAAUGGUCCCUUGAGGUAGAAAAAGGGAAGAUUUCAUUCUUAGCAUUUUCUUAGUUCAGAAAAGUUGUCUAAAUUGUUCAGGAUCACCCAAGCCAAGAACAUGGGGCAGAAUUAGAGUGGGGAUUAGAAGACAAGUGUCCUGAUUCUUGGUCCUAUAUAAUUUCUACUAUAUUAAACCCACUGUUUAUUUGACAAUUGAGGGUCCUUUGAGGGAAAACUCUAAUCAUUAUAAUCAAUAUAAUCAUUAUAAAUAAGAUUUUUCUCUCCCAAGUGGGCAAAUUAAUUUCAGUUGUGAGUCAAACCCUGCUGUGCCAGGGUCCCUCUCUUUAUGUAGAUAUUGAAUGAACCUCAUAAGAUUUCCUUCUAUCCAAAUCCCUAGCCCAUCAGGACAUGCAGAGAGAUUUGUGCCAAAUGAGAGAAGGAAAGAUUGAAUUAAAGAACUACCCAAGAAAGAAGUCAGCUUCAUAGUUUUUUAAAAAUGGAAAAAUUCUUGAUAAAAAUACUCCUAUUAGGGCCCUGGGUCAAAUUCUGUUAUUCUUCUUCCAGUCUCUAACCAUGGGAAAUUCUUUGAACAACUUUGAGACCUUAGGGAGAGGGUUAUACCCAUCUUGACUGUAAUGGAAUACCCUGACUAUUCUAUCGUCUACUGCAUCCACCAACCUGGAGGAUUCCUAAGUGCCCUAAGGGAGCCAGCCUAUUUCUCAACUUUGAAAGCAAGGACAGAUACACACUCCUUCCAGGCUGAGCCUUGGAAAAACCUUAAGCCAUUCACUUAAUGGUAUUCUCUUUGGGGUGAUCUCUGGUUUAGGCAAUUUGGUGGUGCAGUAAAUACCAUGAUGCACCAGGAUUGAGGAAAAUGAGUUCAAAACUGGCUCAGACCCUUCUUAGCUAGGAAACCUUAGACACAAAUCACUUAAGCUCUGUGUGCCUCCAUUUCUUCUACUAUAAAAUGAGAUAAUAAUACCUAUCUCACAUGCUUGUUGUGAGGAUAAAAUGAGAUAAUUCUUGUAAAGCAUUUUGCAAACCUUAAAAUAUUAUAUA
Molecule: non-coding RNA, 6168 nt
Organism: Monodelphis domestica (gray short-tailed opossum)
Lineage: Eukaryota; Metazoa; Chordata; Mammalia; Didelphimorphia; Didelphidae
Source: RefSeq, a predicted model, not a curated record